GAUAAGGAGCUUGCUCCUUUGACGUUAGCGGCGGACGGGUGAGUAACACGUGGGUAACCUACCUAUAAGACUGGGAUAACUUCGGGAAACCGGAGCUAAUACCGGAUAACAUUUGGAACCGCAUGGUUCUAAAGUGAAAGAUGGUUUUGCUAUCACUUAUAGAUGGACCCGCGCCGUAUUAGCUAGUUGGUAAGGUAACGGCUUACCAAGGCGACGAUACGUAGCCGACCUGAGAGGGUGAUCGGCCACACUGGAACUGAGACACGGUCCAGACUCCUACGGGAGGCAGCAGUAGGGAAUCUUCCGCAAUGGGCGAAAGCCUGACGGAGCAACGCCGCGUGAGUGAUGAAGGGUUUCGGCUCGUAAAACUCUGUUAUUAGGGAAGAACAAAUGUGUAAGUAACUGUGCACGUCUUGACGGUACCUAAUCAGAAAGCCACGGCUAACUACGUGCCAGCAGCCGCGGUAAUACGUAGGUGGCAAGCGUUAUCCGGAAUUAUUGGGCGUAAAGCGCGCGUAGGCGGUUUCUUAAGUCUGAUGUGAAAGCCCACGGCUCAACCGUGGAGGGUCAUUGGAAACUGGGAAACUUGAGUGCAGAAGAGGAAAGUGGAAUUCCAUGUGUAGCGGUGAAAUGCGCAGAGAUAUGGAGGAACACCAGUGGCGAACGCGACUUUCUGGUCUGUAACUGACGCUGAUGUGCGAAAGCGUGGGGAUCAAACAGGAUUAGAUAC
RNAcentral lists this ribosomal RNA (730 nucleotides) under Staphylococcus sp. DBT11. RNAcentral describes it as "bacterial SSU rRNA". It matches the Rfam family "Bacterial small subunit ribosomal RNA", at positions 70 to 785 of the family's 1533-position model. Lineage: Bacteria; Bacillati; Bacillota; Bacilli; Caryophanales; Staphylococcaceae. The record is from RNAcentral.